UAACUAUGGUGGUGGUGGGAACUAUAAUGAUUUUGGAAAUUAUAGUGGACAACAGCAAUCAAAUUAUGGACCCAUGAAAGGGGGCAGUUUUGGUGGAAGAAGCUCGGGCAGUCCAUAUGGUGGUGGUUAUGGAUCUGGUGGUGGAAGUGGUGGAUAUGGUAGCAGAAGGUUCUAAAAACAGCAGAAAAGGGUUGAAUGAGAACCCUACUUGCCUAAAUGAGGAAUGUCUUUCCUACCAUCUUAAAUACGAAGGUUUCUGGCUGGGUAAGGUUUGUAGUUCACAGUAAAACCUGAUGACACCA
Molecule: long non-coding RNA, 302 nt
Organism: Propithecus coquereli (Coquerel's sifaka)
Lineage: Eukaryota; Metazoa; Chordata; Mammalia; Primates; Indriidae
Exons: 2
Source: RefSeq, a predicted model, not a curated record